This is a long non-coding RNA of Sphaeramia orbicularis (orbiculate cardinalfish), 697 nucleotides long. RefSeq lists it as uncharacterized. The transcript has 2 exons. The record is from RefSeq and is a predicted model, not a curated record. NCBI's taxonomy places the organism in Eukaryota, Metazoa, Chordata, Actinopteri, Kurtiformes, Apogonidae.
UCAACUUCUGCGUCGGUGUCGGCUAUACGAUAUUCUUAAAAUGCACCUAACUUUAAUCAUGCACUGUGAUUUCUUUGAAAGAAAAAACUAUUUCCGUAUUAGGUUAAACGGUAGACAAGCUCCCAUCCGUAGCAUUGAACAAUUUUAUCUUUAAAAAAACAUCCCAAAAGAAAACUUGAGACUGAUUGUGCGCUUAAUGUGGUCUUUUAAGUGGUUGUGAUCUAAAAGCAGGUAAGCCACUGACUAACGCACAUUGUGCCAGUUGCCAUUUCCACUGUGCGUGUGACAGCGGCUAACCUGGUUUUGGGAAUACCUCGUCCAUAAACCAGCCACAGCCGGACCAGACACCUUUGUACAAGUAGUUCCUAAUCAUGUCCCAUGCACAUUUCUGGGACCGGCCUGCUCAAGAUGAAAUCCCUCCCUGUGGUGUCCAUGUGUACUGUAGCCUACUUCCUCUUAUGUGCACAUACUGUACCUUAUUGUAGCCUUGCACUGCCGCCUAUAGACCCAGCUGCUCCAAUGCCACCUACUGCCAAGACUGCUGGUGCUUUGUUUCAGUUUCAGUUUUAUUUUGCAUGGAUAACACAAGAUAGAUAUCCUUAAUGAUUCUGCAAGCAACAAUGACCAUUGUGUUUGCACCUUGUAUGUUUGUAAAAAGUUUUUCCUUAAGUGAGAAGUAAAGUUUGUACUACAUCAA